Ictidomys tridecemlineatus (thirteen-lined ground squirrel) is the source of this 111-nucleotide small nucleolar RNA. NCBI's taxonomy places the organism in Eukaryota, Metazoa, Chordata, Mammalia, Rodentia, Sciuridae. The record is from Ensembl.
UUGUCUCUGAAUCAAGGCUAGCAGUUUGUUGAAACAAAUGUCUUUCUGUUGUCUGUUAACCAUUUCAGAAAUUUGGAAAUGUAAUGAUCAAUUCAUUAGAAAGAAACAUCU